Non-coding RNA from Pelobates cultripes (western spadefoot toad), 621 nucleotides. The record is from the annotation of a GenBank genome assembly. Lineage: Eukaryota; Metazoa; Chordata; Amphibia; Anura; Pelobatidae.
CUCCGGGGCACUGAGAGACCAGGGGAAAAAAAACUAAAGGCUUCCCCUUUAGUCUUCAGUUUCACCAGGGAAAUACCUGGCAAGUGAUCCACUAGCCAGAUGACAUACCAUGGUUCCUACGAAUCCUCCAUCUGCCAGAAAUUAGAGUACUGAAUUGGAUAAUGGAAAAUUCGAAUGUGCUCUGUAGAGGAACAGCUAGGAAAGUAGAGGACAAGGAGGCUUCUGCUACCCUGUCAUAGUGGCCGUGCCCCCUGUAGGCUUCUGAUAUCAUACACAAUGUCCUGGGCCCUCCUGACUCUUACCCAUUAGCCUGCCAACUAGGGGGAUUGUUUUGGGGUGACUCGGAUGGGAUCAGUGGGAUCGGUGGUUGGGUCCCAAGCAGUGGAGACAUGCUGCUGUCACCUUUUUCCAAAGUUGUGGGAAUAUGUUGACCCCACAGUUGAUGAGUUCACUUUCAUCCGGACUACUCAAGAGUCGCUGGCUUGCCUUGGCUGGGGUGGUGGUCCAGAUAUAUUGCAGCUGCUUCAAUAUGCCUUAUGAUGGAUCCCACAUGCCCUGAGUGGCCCUACCGCACACAAUUGAUACAUCAGUGGCCAUUUUAUCCUUAUGGUCAUGCGUGGG